RNAcentral lists this ribosomal RNA (263 nucleotides) under Giardia duodenalis. Its description in RNAcentral is "Giardia intestinalis partial small subunit ribosomal RNA". The record is from RNAcentral. Lineage: Eukaryota; Fornicata; Diplomonadida; Hexamitidae.
GCGCGACGCUCUCCCCCAGGACGAAGCCAUGCAUGCCCGCUCACCCGGGACGCGGCGGACGGCUCAGGACAACGGUUGCACCCCCCGCGGCGGUCCCUGCUAGCCGGACACCGCUGGCAACCCGGCGCCAAGACGUGCGCGCAAGGGCGGGCGCCCGCGGGCGAGCAGCGUGACGCAGCGACGGCCCGCCCGGGCUUCCGGGGCAUCACCCGGUCGGCGCGGUCGCGGCGCGCCGAGGGCCCGACGCCUGGCGGAGAAUCAGG